This 301-nucleotide ribosomal RNA is filed under the name uncultured bacterium. RNAcentral's name for it is "partial 16S ribosomal RNA". It matches the Rfam family "Bacterial small subunit ribosomal RNA", at positions 509 to 807 of the family's 1533-position model. The record is from RNAcentral.
CAGCCGCCGCGGUAAUACGUAGGGUGCGAGCGUUAAUCGGAAUUACUGGGCGUAAAGCGUGCGCAGGCGGUUCGUUAAGACAGAUGUGAAAUCCCCGGGCUUAACCUGGGAACUGCAUUUGUGACUGGCGAGCUAGAGUAUGGCAGAGGGGGGUAGAAUUCCACGUGUAGCAGUGAAAUGCGUAGAGAUGUGGAGGAAUACCGAUGGCGAAGGCAGCCCCCUGGGCCAAUACUGACGCUCAUGCACGAAAGCGUGGGGAGCAAACAGGAUUAGAUACCCCCGUAGUCCCUGUCUCUUAUAC